Molecule: ribosomal RNA, 214 nt
Filed under: uncultured bacterium
Lineage: Bacteria
Description: partial 16S ribosomal RNA
Rfam family: Bacterial small subunit ribosomal RNA
Source: RNAcentral
AGGAACGCGUAGGGAUUUAUCGUUGGGUGGGGGAUAACCGCGGGAAACUGCGGCUAACACCGCAUGACGCCUGAGGGCCAAAGCCGUGCAAGCGGCGCCUGAUGAGAAGCCUGCGUCCGAUUAGCUAGUAGGUUGGGUAAUGGCUGACCUAGGCUGUGAUCGGUAGCUGGUCUGAGAGGAUGAUCAGCCACACUGGGACUGAGACACGGCCCAG